RNAcentral lists this non-coding RNA (81 nucleotides) under Achromobacter xylosoxidans. RNAcentral describes it as "Glycine riboswitch aptamer". It matches the Rfam family "Glycine riboswitch aptamer", at positions 9 to 86 of the family's 94-position model. Rfam says of the family: This family represents the bacterial glycine riboswitch. The record is from RNAcentral. Lineage: Bacteria; Pseudomonadati; Pseudomonadota; Betaproteobacteria; Burkholderiales; Alcaligenaceae.
CCCCGCAGAAGAGUCCCGUCCCCGUGGCGGGCGCCGACGGAGCAACCGCCCCGGAAACUCUCAGGCAACAGGACUGCGCGG